UUAUAACCCUGGUUGAAGCGGCAUCCUUUUUUCUAUGGGCUAUAAGCUAGGCGAAAAAAGAUAGAGCGGAAGACAGGUGUGGUU
This 84-nucleotide small RNA is filed under the name Flavobacterium indicum GPTSA100-9 = DSM 17447. Its description in RNAcentral is "Flavo-1 RNA". It matches the Rfam family "Flavo-1 RNA". The record is from Rfam by way of RNAcentral. Lineage: Bacteria; Pseudomonadati; Bacteroidota; Flavobacteriia; Flavobacteriales; Flavobacteriaceae.